Molecule: long non-coding RNA, 1418 nt
Organism: Zingiber officinale
Lineage: Eukaryota; Viridiplantae; Streptophyta; Magnoliopsida; Zingiberales; Zingiberaceae
Exons: 7
Source: RefSeq, a predicted model, not a curated record
CCGACUUCCUCUUUUCUCUGUUCUCUCUCGCGGACGAUCGACGCCGACGGAGCAAGGCUUCAGCUCCGGCGAUCUUUUCUCUGCCGGAAUCGACCCUUAAGCUCAGAUCCAGUCGAAGCCCUUCUCCUUCUCAGUCUCAUCUCUCUCUUCUCUCAAGCGGAAGAUCCGACGCACCCGACGCCGACAGAGGGCAUCUGCUUUCCGACGAUCUGGGCCUCUUCGCGUCGCCUGAGGACCGUCGCCGGAUUCUUGAAGGUGCUGACGCUGUCCAAGCUCUUCCGAUGGAGCGAUCCCUUCCUCGGCCGGUUCUUACGCGUGAGCGACAAUGGCUAGGUGGCUAGGGCACGGUGGAGGGCUUGGUUUUGGUUGUUUCCGACCGAUUGACCCUUCGUUUCCUCCUUCUUGAGCUAUUCACAUAACGAUCCGUGGCUCCUCAAAGUGGAUCGGAUUGGGCGAUACCUUCUGGAGACAACCGAUUGAGGGAGGUGUUCUUGAGCUACCGGGAAGAGGCUAGAAGGAUGGUUAAUUGAUCAGUGAUCUCCCUGCUUGACCUCCUGUUGUGAUCCGAUUGAUUCCAAUGAGGUUGAGUGCUGUGGAUCAACAAGCACGACUGUGAGGUGAGGUUCUGUGUACUGUAGGUGUUCUUGGUUCUGCUCUACUUGUUCCAGCAUCAACAGUAGCUGUGAUUUGAGAACCCUCCCAAGCUGGCUACUCCUCUAUUUGAUACUAAAAUGGCAGAGGACCCUAAGAUGACAUACAUAGACCUAGAUAAUCUUUAAAUUGUGUUUUGAACGAAGAGUGUUUGGUCUUGCAUUGUGAUGGCGUCUGAGUGUUGGCUUGGUCUCUAUUGGCUUGCUACAUAUCUAGAAAGCUCCAUGAUUUGUGCUAAGGUAGUUCUUCUCAACGAGCAUAUCUGAGAUGGAACUUCCAUGCUACUUGCUUUUCCGAGUUUGAUUUGCUGCUACAAGAUCGGAAAGAUAUUAUCUGAAGCGUAUCCAAUUUGGAUUUUUCCAGCUCAAAAUAUCAGUAGAUUUGUUGUGGUAGUGCCUUAACAGGAUUUGAGACUUCUCCAUUCAGGAAAAGACAAGUCCGGUAGAUACAAAAAUUACAAGAUUGCAAGUUUGGAUUGAAGGUCACAAGAAAAAAAAUGGGGAGCCAAGUACUCAAGCUGUUGGAGAGAAAAAAGUGGACUUAAUUCGACCAAAUGAUGAAAUGCAGUUUCUCGAUGAUGCAAUAGGAAGCACGGUCGCAUGAUUAUCUAAAUUUAUAGUAUUGUGUGAUUGAUACAUAUUAUACUAAUUUGUUUGGAUUGUAAGUUGAAUUGUUGUUAUGUAAUUGCUAGUUUGUUAGAGAUUUCAUAUAUUGUUUUAGAUGUUUUGAGUUUUUGUGGUAUAAUGAAAAGCUAUGACUUUUAUUAA